CUAUGAUUUUAGAGAAUAAGAAAGGUAUUGAGAAGUAUAAGAGAGAUUCAAGAGAGAUUAGAGUGUUUAAGAGAAAAUGUAUGAGAUUAUCAUGAUGAACUAGAGAGAGAGACCCAUAAACUCGUGUUUUCUUAUUAAUCAACCAGAGUACAAGUUAUAGAGUAAGGAAGAGAGACACUAGGUUAAACAUUAGGAGAGUAGAAGCAUGUGGAGUCAAAGGGAAGAGGAGCGUCCAUUUGAAAUGAUCCAAUGGGAGAGCUCACACGCUUUGGUAUCUUGGCAUCUAUGACCAAGAUGCUGUUUGCUUUACAGCCUGGAACAGCUAGAGACGCGCUGGUCUUCUUCCCUCAACGGACUGAUCAAUAAGAUGGUAACAAGGUUAAUCUCUCCGGUUAACUUCACUUGGGUAACUUUAGACUGAUCCCCUUUCCCUAAGUGUACGGCCUCACUUGUACGGCCUUGGCUUGUACGGACAUCCCUCAUGUACUGAUUCCUUUAUUCAGAAUCCUCUCAUCCCUUCAUGCCUUUACCUUGAUGUCUCUUCUCUUCUUUUAUUGAAUCCUCUCAUCCCUUCAUGCCUUUACCUUGAUGUAUCUUCUCUUCUUUUAUUUAACACUCCCCCUCAAGCUUAGACUCUUACAAAGCUAAGCUUGGAAAGGCCAUGAGAUCUUUCUUCCUCAUUAAAAACCUCACCAAAGAAAACCCAUUGGGACAAAACUUUGAUGAGGGAAAAAGAGUGAAGAACUCAUGGCUAAGGGGAUCAGCUCCUUGGUGUAAGAUCUAUGAGUCCCAAUCUGAUGUGAAUGGACUCCAUAGUCUUUUGUCUUGCAGCCUUGGUGAACACAUCCGCAAGUUGAUCCUCACUCCUCGUAUAGCAUGGCAGGAUUACUCCCAAGACAAUCAUCUGCCUCACCUUGUGACAAUCAACUUCAAUGUGCUUGGUUCUCUCAUGGAAGACUGAGUUGGUUGCAAUGUGUAUAGCCGCUUGAUUAUCACAAUGCAUAGUCAUUGGAGUCGCUUGCUCUAUCUCCAAAUGCUUCAAGAUCCCUUUAAUCCAUACCAACUCAUUGGUAAGCUUCAGCAUUGCUCUAUACUCAGCUUCAGCACUUGAACACGACACCACCUUCUGUUUCUUGCUCUUCCAAGUCACCAAGUUGCCUCCAAUGAAUUUACAAUAGCCGGUGGUUGAUCUUCUGUCUGCUCUAUCUCCAGCCCAAUCAGCGUCACAAUAUCCCACCACUUCAGUACUCUUGUUGCAUCCCAUCCACACUCCAAGGCUUGAUGUCCCGUUCAGAUACAAGAGAAGUCUCUCCACCAUGCGCCAGUGAUGUUCCUUUGGGACUUGCAUAUGCUGGCUCACUUGAUUCACAGCAAAGCAUAUGUCUGGUCUUGUGAUAGUGAGAUAGAUGAGCUUCCCUACCAGCUUCCUGUAUAGCUUUGGAUCAUGAAAGGCCUUGCUAUCUUCAAUCUCCCCCUCACGUGGAAUCUUGUAUCCAUCUUCAAGGGGCAUCUUUGCUGCCUUAUCUCCUUGUAUACCUGCAUCUUUCAAAAGAUCAAGUGUAUACAUCCUUUGGAAAAUGAACAAUCCUUCCUUAGAUCUACACAACUCAAUUCCAAGGAAGUAUUUCAUUUCUCCUAAGUCUUUGAUUUCAAACACAUAUUUCAAAAACUCCUUUGUGGCUUUUAUACCAGCCUUAUCACUACCUGUUAUUAUGAUGUCAUCAACAUAUACAAGUAGGCAAAUGAUACCUGAGGGUGUAGUGAGAGUGAAGAGAGUGUGAUCCAGUUCAGACUUCUUGAACCCACGUCCGUUUAAGGUAGUACUCAAUUUGUUGUACCACGCUCUAGGAGAUUGCUUUAGUCCAUAGAUAGCCUUCUUGAGUCUCAAUACAUUUCCAGGUUUCACAAGAUGCUCUAGGCCUGGUGGUGGAUGCAUAUACACUUCAUCCUCUAACUCUCCUUGAAGAAAGGCAUUCUUCACAUCCAUCUGCCAAAGCUCCCACUCAAGGUUCACAGCAAGGGACAAUACAAUCCUUAUAGUAUGUAGCUUGGCAACAGGAGCAAAGGUAUCAAUGUAGUCUUCCCCAUAUGUUUGAGUGUAUCCUCUAGCCACCAAUCUUGUCUUCUUCCUCUCAAUGGUUCCAUCAGGUAGAUACUUGAUAGUGAAUAUCCACUUGCUUGUUACUGCCUUCUUCCCUUUUGGCAACUCACUUUCAAACCAAGUGUCAUUCUUUAUCAUAGCAUUAGCUUCAUCACCCACUGAUUCUUUCCAAUCUUCAUGUAGCAUUGCUUCUUCAUAUGAUCUUGGUACACUACUUUCAUCUAAGCUUGUAAUGAACGCGCAAUGUUCCUUUGGGUAACUAGCAAAAGAACACACAGCCUGAGAGGGAUGCUUCACAGCCUGAGCAUUGUAGUACACUCUCGUGUUUACCCAGUUGGAAGCAUCCUUCUUCAACCGUGUGCUUCUCCUUAAUGGAACUGGUUCCACCUCCACCACUGUAGGCUGAACCACUUCUCCUUCUACUUCAUCUGGUUCCACUUCUUGAAUGGAUUCUUCCUCGCUUUGUAUCACACCUUGACCAUGACCAUCUGAGUCUUGAUCUUCAUGAUCUUCAGGCUCAGCCUCAUUUUCCCCCUCAUGAUCAUGGUGUGAUGGUUCUUCAGCUUCAUUCUCCUUUGUUGGUUGCUGAUCCUGGGACAUGUUGAUUCCAAGUCCUUCCAGUACACGCCUAAGACUUGUAGCUCGAUCAGAUGGUUGAGACAAAUCUUCAAGAUCUUCCCACUUUCUAUCUCCAUAAAAGCUCUUAUCCGCCAAGAACUUAACAUCUCUAGACACAAGAACUCUCCUGGCUUCUGAAUCAUAGCAUUUGUAUCCCUUUUGUGAUGUUGAGUAGCCAAUGAACAUGGCUCUUGUGCUCUUUGCUUCUAGCUUAUUCCUUAGCUCCCCGGGUACAAGUACAAAGCACACACAUCCAAAGACUCUUAAAUGAUCCAGCACAGGUUUGCUUCUGUUUAGAACUUCAUAAGGUGCCUGAUCCUCCAAGAUCUUGGUUGGUAUCCUAUUGAUCAGAUAACAAGCCGAGAUCACAGCAUCACUCCAGAAUCUUUUAGGCACUCUUGUGUGAAACAUCAUAGACCUUGCCACCUCCAUUAGGUGUCUAUUCUUUCUCUCAGCUACACCAUUCUGUUGAGGAGUGUAUGGACAACUUGUCUGAUGUAGAAUCCCAUGUUGAGCUAGAUGACUCUUGAAUGCAUUGCCAGUAUAUUCUCCACCAUUAUCAGACCUGAAAAUCUUAAUCUUGGCAUUAUAUUGGUUAGAUACAUAAGCUUGGAAAUUUUUAAAUGCAUCAAGGACCCUAUCCUUUGUUUUAAUGAGUGUUAUCCAGGUGUAUUUAGAUGUUUCAUCUAUAAAUGUGACAAAGUACUUGUAAUUAUCUCUAGAUAAGCAGGGAACAGUCCAUACAUCAGAGUGAACAAGAUCAAAACACUUAUCAUAGAUAGUAGUAGAUCUUUUAAACACAUUCUUACAAUGUUUUCCCAAAAUACAAGCCUCACAAUCAUUAUUUUUAAACAUGACACAUGGUAACAUUAAGCUUAAGGCUCUAACAUGUGGAUGUCCUAGCCUAGAAUGCCAUAAUGCACCUUUACUUAAAACAGAACUCAGCAAACAACUAGAAAUGGGUUUAAUAUCUUCAAGUACAUAAAGAUCCCCCCUUGUUACACCUUGUCCAAUCAAAUCAUUGCUCUCAAUAUCCUGAAAUGUCACAUUGUUAGGACUAAAGAUAACAUUACAUUGUAGAUCAUUGGUACAUCUUUUAACAGAUAAGAGGUUAGAAGUGAAAUCAGGCAUGUAAAAUGCUUUAGUGUUCUUACCAAAUAGCUUUAAGUCUCCUACACCUUUAAUAGGAAUUCUAUCUCCAUUUGCAAUCAUUACAUGUCCAUGAGCAGGUUCUAUGUUUUUAAUCAAGCUAUCAUCACUAAUCAUGUGAUGAGAUGCACCAGAGUCAACAAUUAAUGGUUUUAUGCCUCUAGCAAGAUGAGUUCUAGGUGAUUCAUUUCUUAGUUUUAAUUCAUCAAUGAUAUCUAUCAAUCUAUUCUCAUUCCUAGGCAUCAUAUGAGCAGUGUAAGAGUAACCAAGAGUGUUUCCGAAUGUACCAGACUCCUUAUGAGCUUUGAUGAGGGCAUCAAUGUCAGAUUUGCGGAUCACUUCAUGCUCCAAACUCUUUGUGGCCGUGUAGUGAGUUGCCAUUGCCUUUCCUGCGCUUUCACCCACUUGUGCACUUGAGCCUGCUCCUGAUGGACCGGCUUCACUUGCUUCAGUAGACAGGUUAGCUCUGGCUUCUCGGCCUUUGUUGAACUUGGCCGGCUUGAGAUGGGGAUGAAGGAUCCAGCACUGGCUCCUCUUGUGUCCCGGCUUCUUGCAGUGAUCACAGUUGCCUCCAAACCUCCUCUCAUCACCAUACUUCCUCUCAUCAGUCUUGUAUGCUGCACGGUUAGCUUGCGCUCCUUCCUCAGCCUUGUUGGCUAGAGCUAAGUCUCCCUUGCUUCCGAAGAGACCAAGUGACCCUUCCUCCUUCUGAAGUUGCGCACACACUUCCUCCAUAGAUGGGAGAUUUGGCAUCCUCAACAUGUGCUUGAUCACAUCGUUGAAUGGAGGAUCCAACGUUAACAGCAACCCAAACACCUGAUCCUGCUCCCUCCUCUCCAUGAGUAGCUCUUGAUCAUUAGUGCUUGGCCUCAACGAUUCAAGCUCAGACCACAAGGAUCUAUACUUGCCCAAAUGCUUGGUGAACUCCUCUCCAUCUUGUACCAGUGUGUUGAUAGCUUUCUUGAUCUCAUACACACGGUUCAGAUUGGUAACGUUCCCAAAAGUCUUUUGGAGUACCUCCCACAGGUGUUUUGGAGUCUCGCAGUAACUGUAGGCUUCCAAGAGAGGUUCUUCAAGUGAUCCUUGCAGCACAGAUAGCACCAUCAAGUCAUCUUGAAUCCACUUCUUUCCAUCAGCAACCGCGAGCUCUCUUCCACCUUCUUCCUCACUGGCCACUGGUGCUGGAGCUUCAUCUGUGAUGUGACCCCAUAACCCUAGCCUCCCAAUGGCUGUCUUCACAAGCCUAGACCACAACAGGUAGUUUCCCCCACCCUUGAGUGAAAUCGAAACCGUAAUAACCUUGCUUCCCCCAUCUUGAUUUGCUUGAACUUUGUUUAGAAUCUCACAAGAAAGAACGUGUAUCUGAAGCUGAAGAACACAAGAUCUCAAUACCACAGCCAACCUGGCUCUGAUACCAUAUGAUUUUAGAGAAUAAGAAAGGUAUUGAGAAGUUUAAGAGAGAUUCAGGGUGUUUAAGAGAAAGUGUAUGAGAUUAUCAUGAUGAACUAGAGAGAGAGACUCAUAAACUCGUGUAUUUUAUUAAUCAAGACAGAGUUUACAAUAUAUAGGUAGAGACAUAAGGGUUUUCAGAAAGCAUAAGCAUGUGAAGUCAAGGAUAAGGUUUGCUUUAAUUCAAACUGAGCCAAUAGGAGAAGCCACACGCUUUUGGGAUCU
This 5542-nucleotide long non-coding RNA is filed under the name Brassica napus (rape). Its description in RNAcentral is "long non-coding RNA (BNAP_LNC015260)". Lineage: Eukaryota; Viridiplantae; Streptophyta; Magnoliopsida; Brassicales; Brassicaceae. The record is from RNAcentral.